UGAAACCCCCAUCGGGCGCGUCCCCAGGUGGCGGAUAGGGGAACGCUGGAUAUAGAUGCCACAAACAUCCGAUCUUGUACAUUCUUCUUCUAAAUUAAUUAUUGGUGCUUGUUUUAAGUCAAUAAAUUGGGUUUGCUAGGGAUGCUUUCUUUUUUUAAUAUUUUACAAAAAUUUCUGGAUAGUCAAAAAGGAAUUUGUUAAAAGGAUGUUAGUAGGCAUGCCAGUCUAGAGGAUAAUUACCUCUCGCGGACCAACAGGCAUUUUUUUAAAGAAAAUUAACAAUUUCGUUAGCAUAUUUUUUGUAGGUAUUUAAUAAGCUCAAUAAAUCAAGUUUGUGACAAUUAAUAGGAAUAUACUUACUUAUAGUCUUUAAUGUUGCAUAUAAUAAAAGUAGUUUUUGAAUUUACUGUUUUAUAAAGUGUAAUUAACAAAAUACAAAUAAUAAUGAUGAAUCUAGAAUAUACAUACAUACGUUGAGACCAAAUGUAAAAUGUGUACUUUUCUACUAUUUAAUAGGUCUUUUUUUAAAUGUUUUGAUUAAUGUCUUAGAAAUUUUUCAUGUGGUUUUAAGUGUACUUUCAACGUAUGUAAAUGAAAGAGAGAAAGAAGAAAACUUAUUUACGUUAAUUUGAAAAAUCUGGAGGUUGGAGAUCACUUUUAUAAGACAAAAUAGAAAAAACUCAAUUCAUUUCAUUCCUGAAACAAUCCUUUUAGAGCAAAACUGGUAAGUGGAUGAUGUUCUCUUUAAAAUAGUCAGGCUGGACUUAUUUUUAAAAAGAUUUAAAGAGGUUCAUUAAACAUCGUAAUUUCUUUUGCAAUUACAAUAUUUUUGUUCAUAUUGAUUGUAUUUAAUAGCAUUGUAAAAUCAAUAAAUACUUUAUGUCAAACUUU
Molecule: long non-coding RNA, 891 nt
Organism: Agrilus planipennis (emerald ash borer)
Lineage: Eukaryota; Metazoa; Arthropoda; Insecta; Coleoptera; Buprestidae
Exons: 2
Source: RefSeq, a predicted model, not a curated record